UCAUUCAUUUAUUCAUGUGUUCAUUCUCCGAGGAUCUGCAAUAUGCUCGAUGCGAGAGGUACAGACCUGAAUAAGGCAAGGUCUCUGAAAUUGAGGCAUUCCCAGCAAGAAGGUGUUGCUGCAGAGAAGUCUUGUGUGAAACAGGGAGAGAGCCGCCCGGAAGGGCAACCAAAGAGGCCAUCUGGCUUCCACACCUGGCUUUCAAUUGCCUGUGACUCUUCAUCUGAUCUUCAUCUUCAUGCAGAGCACCAGUGGCGCUUAGUAAUAACCAUCCGACAAUAUCAUCCUUCCCUCCACACACUGCAAACACCUGGAGUAUCUACACAGGUUGACCUGCCAACUUGCUUGAAGAAGUCAUCCACUGGGUUCAUUAGAUGCUAUCUCUAAGGAAGCCACUGUGCCUGGCCUGGUGGUUUUGGUGUAUGUAAGACAGAGGCAAACCAUCCUAGAAUUUCCAGUGUCCCAAGGUGUGCACCAGAGGAUCAGAUGUGACCGAAAACAAAAGAUAGGAUGACCGUUUAACAGGGAAGAACAUGCUACCACAACGUGACGAGAUCCCUGGCCUGUGUAUCUUCUCAAAACCUCAAGUCUGGUUUAGCCAAGAGCUAGAGAUGACCAGGGGACAGUGGUCAGCCUGGGAUGGCUCUGCCACACCUGGAAUCACCGCUGAGUGAAGGGCCUGUGGAGACCACAACACUCUGAGAAGUCCACAGCAAUUCCAGGGUGUAACGCAAGGGCAGGGAAUGCAUCCUCUUCAUCUCUGUAACUCAAGCCUUACAUGACAGCAGCCCGGUCUCCCAAGAGCCUUUGAUGGUAAAGGCAGCUGAUGAUGUGGAGCAUGAAUUCAGCAGCAUCACACACACCUUCCGUGAUUCUGCCCAGAUCGCCUUGCCUUGACCUGAUCCCAUCAAGAAGCCUCACUGAAAGCUGAGUGACCUGAGUACAAAGGCUUCAGAUCUUCCUACCUCACGGCCGGCCCAGCCCUCCUUCCUGUUGUCCAGCACAGCAUCCGGCAAAGGCCAUUACCCUUAUUUAAGGGCAGAUGGUGAGUUGAAAACCACACAACAGAGGUAGUUCAGGCACAUAGGUCUGUAGGAACCAAGUUCAGACGUAAGCUAAGAGGUCACCAAUGGCUCCACAGCUGUGCCCCUACCCCCAGCGCACCCCGAGAGCUUCCUCCCAAAAGAUUCUUUAGCAAAAUGGGAAAGGGAGGAGAUCAAGAGUAGGAGGGGAAUGAGGCAAAGGAGCCAAGAAGGGGGUUUCUAAUACAGAAUUGAAACUGCCCUGUUCAGGGGCUGGCAGAUUUCCAAGGACCUCCAAGGAUGCAGAGAAGGCCUGGGAGAAAACCAGGGACAGGAGGCAAGGUUCACUUCAGCUCAGACACACUCCACCUCCUCCUCUGGCUCCAACCCCCUCUACUCAUGGCCAGACGUCUUAAAUUCCCCUUUUUUUUUUUUUUCCCCUUUUUUGCG
Molecule: long non-coding RNA, 1472 nt
Organism: Delphinapterus leucas (beluga whale)
Lineage: Eukaryota; Metazoa; Chordata; Mammalia; Artiodactyla; Monodontidae
Source: RefSeq, a predicted model, not a curated record